This 69-nucleotide transfer RNA is filed under the name Thrips hawaiiensis. Its description in RNAcentral is "tRNA-Ile". The record is from RNAcentral. Lineage: Eukaryota; Metazoa; Arthropoda; Insecta; Thysanoptera; Thripidae.
CAAAGGAUGCCUGAUAAAAAGGAAUAUUUUGAUAGAAUAUCUCAUGGAAUAAAAAAGUUCCUCCUUUGA